UACGUAGGGGGCUAGCGUUGUCCGGAAUCAUUGGGCGUAAAGAGCGUGUAGGCGGCUCGGUAAGUCCGCUCUGAAAGCCCGGGGCUCAACCCCGGGAGGCGGGCGGAUACUGUCGGGCUAGAGUCCGGAAGAGGCGAGUGGAAUUCCUGGUGUAGCGGUGAAAUGCGCAGAUAUCAGGAGGAACACCAAUAGCGAAGGCAGCUCGCUGGGACGGUACUGACGCUGAGGCACGAAAGCGUGGGGAGCAAACAGG
Molecule: ribosomal RNA, 253 nt
Filed under: uncultured bacterium
Lineage: Bacteria
Description: partial 16S ribosomal RNA
Rfam family: Bacterial small subunit ribosomal RNA
Source: RNAcentral